CUCCCAAACUUGCUCCAUUAUAAAUAUCACCAAAGGAGUUUUUGAAAAACAGAGAUGCUGAUGUUCUACUUCAAACCUCCUUAAUCAUGGGAGGCUCUGCAACAGCAUAUUCUACAAAGAAAAAGAUAAAUGAACAGAAUUCACUCUAAGAUUCACCAUGGAUGUUUACUAGUCAACUUGAUGUCCCAAACCAUCUGCCUAUCUAACACAGCUGAUCUUAAGUUCGUGCUUCACAGCUAUUGGAUGCCCCUUAACCAAGGACUUAGGGCUCAAAUAUUUGAAGAACACUGGAGUCAGGAGACCAGGAUUUCAGAUCUGACUGACACUAACUAGGCUCACCUGGGAGAAACCAGAUGCUCUGUAGGAAAUGCAACGGUCCUGCAAACACCAUGCUAUGGGAAGCCCAAGCCAUGUGCAGAGGCCCUGGAGGAAGAGAUUCAUUGUGUCGAGCAAGAGACCACAUGCAUGAG
Molecule: long non-coding RNA, 470 nt
Filed under: Homo sapiens (human)
Lineage: Eukaryota; Metazoa; Chordata; Mammalia; Primates; Hominidae
Description: HSALNT0137992
Source: RNAcentral